GCUUGCUGUGGCCCUGUCAGGAAGAGUAGAGCUCUGGUCCAGCUCCGUGCAGGGAGGGAGCCUGUCACCAUGCCGGCCUGCUGCAGCUGCAGUGAUGUUUUCCAGUAUGAGACGAACAAAGUCACUCGGAUCCAGAGCAUGAAUUAUGGCACCAUUAAGUGGUUCUUCCACGUGAUCAUCUUUUCCUACGUUUGCUUUGCUCUGGUGAGUGACAAGCUGUACCAGCGGAAAGAGCCUGUCAUCAGUUCUGUGCACACCAAGGUGAAGGGGAUAGCAGAGGUGAAAGAGGAGAUCGUGGAGAACGGAGUGAAGAAGUUGGUGCACAGUGUCUUUGACACCGCAGACUACACCUUCCCUUUGCAGGGGAACUCUUUCUUCGUGAUGACAAACUUUCUCAAAACAGAAGGCCAAGAGCAGCGGUUGUGUCCUGAGUAUCCCACCCGCAGGACGCUCUGUUCCUCUGACCGAGGUUGUAAAAAGGGAUGGAUGGACCCGCAGAGCAAAGGAUGGGCUUGAUGGAAGCUGAAGCUGCGUGGGUUGGAAAGCCUGGUCAAAGCCUAGUCUCUCGCCUGGGUUGAGUUAAUGAUGUCCCUCCUGGAGAACAUCCUCUCCGCAGUUCUUUCACAUCUGUGGUUCUAUGAUGCUUUGACCCCUAUAGGAAUUCAGACCGGAAGGUGUGUAGUAUAUGAAGGGAAGCAGAAGACCUGUGAAGUCUCUGCCUGGUGCCCCAUCGAGGCAGUGGAAGAGGCACCCCGGCCUGCUCUCUUGAACAGUGCCGAAAACUUCACCGUGCUCAUCAAGAACAAUAUCGACUUCCCCGGCCACAACUACACCACGAGAAACAUCUUGCCAGGUUUAAACAUCACUUGUACCUUCCACAAGACUCAGAAUCCACAGUGUCCCAUUUUCCGACUAGGAGACAUCUUCCGAGAAACAGGCGAUAAUUUUUCAGAUGUGGCAAUUCAGAUACGCCAAGUACUACAAGGAAAACAAUGUUGAGAAACGGACUCUGAUAAAAGUCUUUGGGAUCCGUUUUGACAUCCUGGUUUUUGGCACCGGAGGAAAAUUUGACGUUAUCCAGCUGGUUGUGUACAUCGGCUCAACCCUCUCCUACUUCGGUCUGGUAAGAGAUUCUCUUUUCCACGCUUUAGGAAAAUGGUUUGGAGAAGGAAGUUACUAACAUGGUGCUUGUCUGCAUUUUCCCCAGGCAACUGUGUUCAUCGACUUCCUCAUCAACACUUACUCCAGUAACUGCUGUCGCUCCCACGUUUAUCCCUGGUGCAAGUGCUGUCAGCCCUGUGUGGUCAACGAAUACUACUACAGGAAGAAGUGCGAGUCCAUUGUGGAGCCAAAGCCGACAUUAAAGUAUGUGUCCUUUGUGGAUGAAUCCCACAUUAGGAUGGUGAACCAGCAGCUACUAGGGAGAAGUCUGCAAGAUGUCAAGGGCGAAGAAGUCCCAAGACCUGCGAUGGACUUCACAGAUUUGUCCAAGCUGCCCCUGGCCCUCCAUGACACACCCCCAAUUCCUGGACAACCAGAGGAGAUACAGCUGCUUAGAAAAGAGGCGACUCCUAGAUCCAGGGAUAGCCCCGUCUGGUGCCAAUGUGGAAGCUGCCUCCCAUCCCAACUCCCUGAGAGCCGCAGGUGCCUGGAGGAGCUGUGCUGCCGGAAAAAGCCGGGGGCCUGCAUCACCACCUCAGAGCUGUUCCGGAAGCUGGUCCUGUCCAGACACGUCCUGCAGUUCCUCGUGCUCUACCAGGAGCCCUUGCUGGCACUGGAUGUGGAUUCCACCAACAGCCGGCUGCGGCACUGUGCCUACAGGUGCUACGCCA
Molecule: small RNA, 1832 nt
Filed under: Pongo abelii (Sumatran orangutan)
Lineage: Eukaryota; Metazoa; Chordata; Mammalia; Primates; Hominidae
Description: retained intron
Source: RNAcentral